Molecule: ribosomal RNA, 1503 nt
Filed under: Klebsiella pneumoniae
Lineage: Bacteria; Pseudomonadati; Pseudomonadota; Gammaproteobacteria; Enterobacterales; Enterobacteriaceae
Description: bacterial SSU rRNA
Rfam family: Bacterial small subunit ribosomal RNA
Source: RNAcentral
AGAGUUUGAUCAUGGCUCAGAUUGAACGCUGGCGGCAGGCCUAACACAUGCAAGUCGAGCGGUAGCACAGAGAGCUUGCUCUCGGGUGACGAGCGGCGGACGGGUGAGUAAUGUCUGGGAAACUGCCUGAUGGAGGGGGAUAACUACUGGAAACGGUAGCUAAUACCGCAUAAUGUCGCAAGACCAAAGUGGGGGACCUUCGGGCCUCAUGCCAUCAGAUGUGCCCAGAUGGGAUUAGCUAGUAGGUGGGGUAACGGCUCACCUAGGCGACGAUCCCUAGCUGGUCUGAGAGGAUGACCAGCCACACUGGAACUGAGACACGGUCCAGACUCCUACGGGAGGCAGCAGUGGGGAAUAUUGCACAAUGGGCGCAAGCCUGAUGCAGCCAUGCCGCGUGUGUGAAGAAGGCCUUCGGGUUGUAAAGCACUUUCAGCGGGGAGGAAGGCGNNCGAUUGACGUUACCCGCAGAAGAAGCACCGGCUAACUCCGUGCCAGCAGCCGCGGUAAUACGGAGGGUGCAAGCGUUAAUCGGAAUUACUGGGCGUAAAGCGCACGCAGGCGGUCUGUCAAGUCGGAUGUGAAAUCCCCGGGCUCAACCUGGGAACUGCAUUCGAAACUGGCAGGCUAGAGUCUUGUAGAGGGGGGUAGAAUUCCAGGUGUAGCGGUGAAAUGCGUAGAGAUCUGGAGGAAUACCGGUGGCGAAGGCGGCCCCCUGGACAAAGACUGACGCUCAGGUGCGAAAGCGUGGGGAGCAAACAGGAUUAGAUACCCUGGUAGUCCACGCCGUAAACGAUGUCGAUUUGGAGGUUGUGCCCUUGAGGCGUGGCUUCCGGAGCUAACGCGUUAAAUCGACCGCCUGGGGAGUACGGCCGCAAGGUUAAAACUCAAAUGAAUUGACGGGGGCCCGCACAAGCGGUGGAGCAUGUGGUUUAAUUCGAUGCAACGCGAAGAACCUUACCUGGUCUUGACAUCCACAGAACUUUCCAGAGAUGGAUUGGUGCCUUCGGGAACUGUGAGACAGGUGCUGCAUGGCUGUCGUCAGCUCGUGUUGUGAAAUGUUGGGUUAAGUCCCGCAACGAGCGCAACCCUUAUCCUUUGUUGCCAGCGGUUAGGCCGGGAACUCAAAGGAGACUGCCAGUGAUAAACUGGAGGAAGGUGGGGAUGACGUCAAGUCAUCAUGGCCCUUACGACCAGGGCUACACACGUGCUACAAUGGCAUAUACAAAGAGAAGCGACCUCGCGAGAGCAAGCGGACCUCAUAAAGUAUGUCGUAGUCCGGAUUGGAGUCUGCAACUCGACUCCAUGAAGUCGGAAUCGCUAGUAAUCGUAGAUCAGAAUGCUACGGUGAAUACGUUCCCGGGCCUUGUACACACCGCCCGUCACACCAUGGGAGUGGGUUGCAAAAGAAGUAGGUAGCUUAACCUUCGGGAGGGCGCUUACCACUUUGUGAUUCAUGACUGGGGUGAAGUCGUAACAAGGUAACCGUAGGGGAACCUGCGGUUG